Molecule: ribosomal RNA, 126 nt
Filed under: Mus pahari (shrew mouse)
Lineage: Eukaryota; Metazoa; Chordata; Mammalia; Rodentia; Muridae
Description: rRNA (MGP_PahariEiJ_G0032580.1)
Source: RNAcentral
GGGUACAGCCAUACCAUCCUAAACAUGAUGGAUCUUGUCUGAUCCUGGAAGCUAAGCAAGAUCAAGCCUGGUUACUGCUUAGAUGGGAGAAGCACAGCAGUGUACUGGGGGUGGGGGUCACCCCUA